UGCCAGCCGCCGCGGUAAUACGAAGGGUGCUAGCGUUGUUCGGAAUUACUGGGCGUAAAGAGCAUGUAGGCGGACUGGAAAGUUGGGGGUGAAAUCCCAGGGCUCAACCCUGGAACUGCCUCCAAAACUAUCAGUCUAGAGUUCGAGAGAGGUAAGUGGAAUUCCGAGUGUAGGGGUGAAAUCCGUAGAUAUUCGGAGGAACACCAGUGGCGAAGGCGGCUUUCUGGACCGAUACUGACGCUGAGACGCGAAAGCGUGGGGAGCAAACAGGAUUAGAUA
RNAcentral lists this ribosomal RNA (279 nucleotides) under uncultured bacterium. RNAcentral describes it as "partial 16S ribosomal RNA". It matches the Rfam family "Bacterial small subunit ribosomal RNA", at positions 506 to 784 of the family's 1533-position model. The record is from RNAcentral.